GUUGUGCUAGUGUCACUCCAGCCAGGUUUUUGUUAGAGGUACGUUCAGAUGACUUCUUGUUGGUCUUUUCUUUACUGCUUUGAGUGCUGACUUUUUGCCAGUAGUCUUUGGCUCCCAUGUGGUCCUUUUCCACCAUACAGCCAACCUUCACCAGCUGCUCAACCGAAUUGACGGUUCCCCUCAUACAUCCUGCAACCCUGGGGUUGAUGUUGUUGAGUAUGCGAUUUACUAAGUCCUCCUCAGAUAUAUCUGGCUUCCAUUUCAGACAUAGGGCCCGGUAGUCAUAUGCAAAGUCCCUCAGACGUUGUUGUGGCUGUUGAACCAUUGUCCUCAACUUUUCCUCCACUUCUGAGAGCUCAGAGCAGGUCCCUUCAGCACCGUGCUUAAGGUUCCUAAGAGUUCUGCACUGGGGAGGGGCCGAAUCUCCAGGAAGUUCUCACAUUGUUCAAUGAAAUUGAGCACCUCCGCCGUAUCACAGGAGUCACCAAAAGAGGGGAAUUCGAUGCGGAUAGGAGGUCGGGCACAGAAUGAGGAUGAACCUGCCACUACUGAAGGGAUACUCUAGCUGGGGUCGGUGGUUGAAGGACAGUGGAAAAUCGGGAG
Pimephales promelas (fathead minnow) is the source of this 603-nucleotide non-coding RNA. NCBI's taxonomy places the organism in Eukaryota, Metazoa, Chordata, Actinopteri, Cypriniformes, Leuciscidae. The record is from RefSeq and is a predicted model, not a curated record.